AUUGAACGUUGGCGGCAUGCCUUACACAUGCAAGUCGAACGGCAGCACGGGAGCUUGCUCCUGGUGGCGAGUGGCGAACGGGUGAGUAAUACAUCGGAACGUACCCUGAAGUGGGGGAUAACGUAGCGAAAGUUACGCUAAUACCGCAUAUUCUGUGAGCAGGAAAGAGGGGGAGUCGCAAGACCUCUUGCUUUAGGAGCGGCCGAUGUCGGGAUUAGCUAGUUGGUGAGGUAAAGGCUCACCAAGGCGACGAUCCGUAGCGGGUCUGAGAGGAUGAUCCGCCACACUGGGACUGAGACACGGCCCAGACUCCUACGGGAGGCAGCAGUGGGGAAUUUGGACAAUGGGCGCAAGCCUGAUCCAGCCAUGCCGCGUGAGUGAAGAAGGCC
This 389-nucleotide ribosomal RNA is filed under the name uncultured bacterium. Its description in RNAcentral is "bacterial SSU rRNA". It matches the Rfam family "Bacterial small subunit ribosomal RNA", at positions 30 to 416 of the family's 1533-position model. The record is from RNAcentral.